ACAUUGUUAGUAUAAUAAAUAUCUUACUUUUCCAAAGUAAAGAUCUAGAUAAUCUAGACAAUGUA
Molecule: transfer RNA, 65 nt
Filed under: Scalithrium sp. LRP 10408
Lineage: Eukaryota; Metazoa; Platyhelminthes; Cestoda; Rhinebothriidea; Rhinebothriidae
Also listed under: 1 other name
Description: tRNA-Gly
Source: RNAcentral